AUCAACGAAAAGCAGGAAGAGUUUUAACUCCUGGAAUCAUCUGAGAAACUAUUUCAAACUACAAAUUUAUAUACCCUACUUCUGAAAGUUCUGAUUCAGCAAGUCUUGGGUAGAAGCUGGGAAUCUGUAUGACUACCAAGCUCCCCCAGGUGACUCUGAAUGUGCAGGUAGCGAGUGAAGAAACCACUGGCUCCCAGGGACUGAUCGAGGAACACUUUCUCACAAAGGACCGGCCGACUCGAACAGGGUUCUGUCGUAUCAUGCUUCAGCAGCAGAGGAAGAAACAAGAGAGCUACAGUCGUUAGCGGGCUGCAAAGUCACUGAUAAUACAAAGCAAAAGGCAUUAAAUAACAUACUGACUGUGUAA
Molecule: small RNA, 367 nt
Filed under: Pongo abelii (Sumatran orangutan)
Lineage: Eukaryota; Metazoa; Chordata; Mammalia; Primates; Hominidae
Description: processed transcript
Source: RNAcentral